This 253-nucleotide ribosomal RNA is filed under the name uncultured bacterium. RNAcentral describes it as "partial 16S ribosomal RNA". It matches the Rfam family "Bacterial small subunit ribosomal RNA", at positions 524 to 776 of the family's 1533-position model. The record is from RNAcentral.
UACGUAGGGUGCAAGCGUUGUCCGGAAUUAUUGGGCGUAAAGAGCUCGUAGGCGGUUUGUCGCGUCUGCUGUGAAAACCGGAGGCUCAACCUCCGGCCUGCAGUGGGUACGGGCAGACUAGAGUGCGGUAGGGGAGAUUGGAAUUCCUGGUGUAGCGGUGGAAUGCGCAGAUAUCAGGAGGAACACCGAUGGCGAAGGCAGAUCUCUGGGCCGUAACUGACGCUGAGGGACGAAAGCUAGGGGAGCGAAUGGG